CCUACGGGAGGCAGCAGUAAGGAAUAUUGGUCAAUGGAGGCAACUCUGAACCAGCCAUGCCGCGUGCAGGAUGACGGCCCUAUGGGUUGUAAACUGCUUUUAUACAAGAGAAAACCCUGGUACGUGUACCAGGUUGAUAGUAUUGUAAGAAUAAGCAUCGGCUAACUUCGUGCCAGCAGCCGCGGUAAGACGAAGGAUGCAAGCGUUAUCCGGAUUCAUUGGGUUUAAAGGGUGCGUAGGCGGACUGAUAAGUCAGUGGUGAAAUCUCUUUGCUUAACAAAGAAACUGCCAUUGAUACUGUCGGUCUAGAGUAUAGAUGACGUUGGCGGAAUAUGACAUGUAGUGGUGAAAUACUUAGAUAUGUCAUAGAACACCGAUUGCGAAGGCAGCUAACGAAACUAUAACUGACGCUGAGGCACGAAAGUGCGGGGAUCAAACAGGAUUAGAUACCCUGGUAGUCCGCACCGUAAACGAUGAUUACUCGUUGUUGGCGAUAUGACAGUCAGCGACCAAGCGAAAGCGAUAAGUAAAUCCACCUUGGGGAGUACGCCGGNAACGGUUGAAACUUCAAAGGGAAUUGACGGNNGAGAGCGAGCGACACGAGGAGGAGG
Molecule: ribosomal RNA, 611 nt
Filed under: uncultured bacterium
Lineage: Bacteria
Description: bacterial SSU rRNA
Rfam family: Bacterial small subunit ribosomal RNA
Source: RNAcentral